UUUCCAUGUGUAGCGGUGAAAUGCGUAGAGAUAUGGAGGAACACCAGUGGCGAAGGCGACUUUCUGGUCUGUAACUGACACUGAGGCGCGAAAGCGUGGGGAGCAAACAGGAUUAGAUACCCUGGUAGUCCACGCCGUAAACGAUGAGUGCUAAGUGUUAGAGGGUUUCCGCCCUUUAUUGCUGAAGUUAACGCAUUAAGCACUCCGCCUGCCGAGUACGGCCGCAAGGCUGAAACUCACAGGAAUUGAC
RNAcentral lists this ribosomal RNA (250 nucleotides) under Bacillus cereus. Its description in RNAcentral is "partial 16S ribosomal RNA". It matches the Rfam family "Bacterial small subunit ribosomal RNA", at positions 666 to 914 of the family's 1533-position model. The record is from RNAcentral. Lineage: Bacteria; Bacillati; Bacillota; Bacilli; Caryophanales; Bacillaceae.